Molecule: ribosomal RNA, 541 nt
Filed under: Microdochium sp. 684F5
Lineage: Eukaryota; Fungi; Ascomycota; Sordariomycetes; Xylariales; Microdochiaceae
Description: eukaryotic LSU rRNA
Rfam family: 5.8S ribosomal RNA (bases 161-314)
Source: RNAcentral
AACCUGCGGAGGGAUCAUUACAGAGUUUUUAACUCCUAAAACCAUGUGAACUUACCACUGUUGCCUCGGUGGAAGGUACCCGAAAGGGUGCUGGAAGCCGGCGGACAUCUAAACUCUUGUUAAUUUUUGUUAUUCUGAAUCAAACUAAGAAAUAAGUUAAAACUUUCAACAACGGAUCUCUUGGUUCUGGCAUCGAUGAAGAACGCAGCGAAAUGCGAUAAGUAAUGUGAAUUGCAGAAUUCAGUGAAUCAUCGAAUCUUUGAACGCACAUUGCGCCCAUUAGUAUUCUAGUGGGCAUGCCUGUUCGAGCGUCAUUUCAACCCUUAAGCCUAGCUUAGUGUUGGGAGACUGCCUAAUACGCAGCUCCUCAAAACCAGUGGCAGAGUUUUUACGUACUCUGAGCGCAGUAAUUCUAUUCUCGCUUUUGAACACGUCUAGACGAUAGCCAAAAACCGCUUGCCUCGGCAGCACUUUUUAAUGGUUGACCUCGGAUCAGGUAGGAAUACCCGCUGAACUUAAGCAUAUCAAUAAGCGGGAGGAA